This 400-nucleotide ribosomal RNA is filed under the name uncultured bacterium. RNAcentral's name for it is "bacterial SSU rRNA". It matches the Rfam family "Bacterial small subunit ribosomal RNA", at positions 356 to 773 of the family's 1533-position model. The record is from RNAcentral.
GGGGAAUAUUGCACAAUGGGCGAAAGCCUGAUGCAGCAACGCCGCGUGAGUGAAGAAGGUUUUCGGAUUGUAAAGCUCUGUCAUCUGGGACGAUAAUGACGGUACCAGAUGAGGAAGCCACGGCUAACUACGUGCCAGCAGCCGCGGUAAUACGUAGGUGGCAAGCGUUGUCCGGAUUUACUGGGCGUAAAGGAUGUGUAGGCGGAUAUUUAAGUGAGAUGUGGAAGACCCGGGCUUAACUUGGGCAGUGCAUUUCAAACUGGAUGUCUGGAGUGCAGGAGAGGAGAACGGAAUUCCUAGUGUAGCGGUGAAAUGCGUAGAGAUUAGGAAGAACACCAGUGGCGAAGGCGGUUCUCUGGACUGUAACUGACGCUGAGGCACGAAAGCGUGGGUAGCAAAC